RNAcentral lists this ribosomal RNA (409 nucleotides) under uncultured bacterium. Its description in RNAcentral is "bacterial SSU rRNA". It matches the Rfam family "Bacterial small subunit ribosomal RNA", at positions 354 to 777 of the family's 1533-position model. The record is from RNAcentral.
GUGGGGAAUAUUGGGCAAUGGGCGCAAGCCUGACCCAGCAACGCCGCGUGAGGGAAGAAGGUUUUCGGAUUGUAAACCUCUGUCCUUGGGGACGAAGGAAGUGACGGUACCCGAGGAGGAAGCCCCGGCUAACUACGUGCCAGCAGCCGCGGUAAUACGUAGGGGGCGAGCGUUGUCCGGAAUGACUGGGCGUAAAGGGCGCGUAGGCGGCCGAUUAAGUCUGGAGUGAAAGUCCUGCUUUCAAGGUGGGAAUUGCUUUGGAGACUGGUUGGCUUGAGUGCGGAAGAGGUAAGUGGAAUUCCCAGUGUAGCGGUGAAAUGCGUAGAGAUUGGGAGGAACACCAGUGGCGAAGGCGACUUACUGGGCCGUAACUGACGCUGAGGCGCGAAAGCGUGGGGAGCGAACAGGA